RNAcentral lists this ribosomal RNA (433 nucleotides) under uncultured bacterium. RNAcentral describes it as "partial 16S ribosomal RNA". It matches the Rfam family "Bacterial small subunit ribosomal RNA", at positions 29 to 507 of the family's 1533-position model. The record is from RNAcentral.
AACGAACGCUGGCGGCAUGCCUAAUACAUGCAAGUCGAACGAGACCUUCGGGUCUAGUGGCGCACGGGUGCGUCACGCGUGGGAACCUGCCCUUAGGUUCGGCCUAACUCUACGACAGGGGUGCUAUUACCGGAUAAUGUCUUCGGCCCAAAGAUUUAUCGCCUUUGGAUGGGCACGCGUUGGAUUAGCUUGUUGGUAGGGUAAAAGACUACCAAGGGGACGAUCCAUAGCUGGUCUGAGAGGAUGAUCAGCCACACUGGGACUGAGACACGGCCCAGACUCCUACGGGAGGCAGCAGUGGGGAAUAUUGGACAAUGGGCUGAAGCCUGAUCCAGCAAUGCCGCGUGAGUGAUGAAGGCCUGAGGGUUGUAAAGCGCUUUUACCCGGGAUGAUAAUGACAGUACCGGGAGAAAAAGCUCCGGCUAACUCCGUG